Molecule: ribosomal RNA, 429 nt
Filed under: Chloroflexota bacterium
Lineage: Bacteria; Bacillati; Chloroflexota
Description: Chloroflexi bacterium partial 16S ribosomal RNA
Rfam family: Bacterial small subunit ribosomal RNA
Source: RNAcentral
UGGGGAAUAUUGCACAAUGGGCGCAAGCCUGAUGCAGCCAUGCCGCGUGUGUGAAGAAGGCCUUCGGGUUGUAAAGCACUUUCAGCGGGGAGGAAGGCGUUAAGGUUAAUAACCUUGGCGAUUGACGUUACCCGCAGAAGAAGCACCGGCUAACUCCGUGCCAGUAGCCGCGGUAAUACGGAGGGUGCAAGCGUUAAUCGGAAUUACUGGGCGUAAAGCGCACGCAGGCGGUCUGUCAAGUCGGAUGUGAAAUCCCCGGGCUCAACCUGGGAACUGCAUUCGAAACUGGCAGGCUAGAGUCUUGUAGAGGGGGGUAGAAUUCCAGGUGUAGCGGUGAAAUGCGUAGAUAUAUGGAGGAACACCAGUGGCGAAGGCGGCUCUCUGGUCUGUAACUGACGCUGAGGCUCGAAAGCGUGGGGAGCAAACAGG